Molecule: ribosomal RNA, 1065 nt
Filed under: Candidatus Mycoplasma haematolamae
Lineage: Bacteria; Bacillati; Mycoplasmatota; Mollicutes; Mycoplasmatales; Mycoplasmataceae
Description: bacterial SSU rRNA
Rfam family: Bacterial small subunit ribosomal RNA
Source: RNAcentral
CAGCCGCUUUGGGAUUGAGAUAUGGCCCAUAUUCCUACGGGAAGCAGCAGUGAGGAAUUUUUCACAAUGGGCGAAAGCCUGAUGGAGCAAUACCACGUGAACGAUGAAGGUCUUCUGAUUGUAAAGUUCUUUUAUUUAGGAAAAAAAGCAGGAUAGGAAAUGAUUCUGCCGUGAUUGUACUAAUUGAAUAAGUGACAGCUAACUACGUGCCAGCAGCUGCGGUAAAACAUAGGUCACGAGCAUUAUCCGGAUUUAUUGGGCGUAAAGGAAGCGUAGGUGGAGGAGUUGAUCCAUUGUCAAAAGCAUCUGCUUAACAGGUGUCCGCGAUGGAUAUCGCUUCUCUAGAAUUAGUUAGGGGGUACUGGAAUUCAAUGUGUAGCGGUGGAAUGCGUAGAUAUAUUGAGGAACACCAGAGGCUAAGGCGAGUACCUGGGACAUAAUUGACACUGAGGCUUGAAAGCGUGGGGAGCAAAUGGGAUUAGAUACCCCAGUAGUCCACGCCGUAAACGAUGGGUAUUAGGUAUUUGGUUUAAAACUGAGUGCUGUAGCUAACGCGUUAAAUACCCCGCCUGGGUAGUAUAUAUGCAAAUAUGAAACUCAAGAAAUUGACGGGACCUGAACAAGUGGUGGAGCAUGUUGCUUAAUUCGAUAUACACGCAAACUACAGCUGUAUCUACUGCGAACUAUAGAAAAUAUAGUGAGUAUCGUAUGACAGUGUGCAUGGCCUGUCGUCAGCUCGUGUCUUGAGAUGUUUGGUUAAGUCCCGUAACGAGCGCAACCCUACUCUCUAGUUAAUUAGUUCUAGAGUGACUGAAUCGUAAGAUAUAGGAAGGUUGGGGCCAAGUCAAGUCAUCAUGCCCCUUAUGCCUUGGGCUGCAAACGUGCUACAAUGGUAGGCACAAUGUGUUGCAAACUAGCGAUAGUGAGCUAAUCACCUAAAACCUAUCUCAGUCCGGAUAAAAGGCUGCAAUUCGCCUAUUUGAAGUUGGAAUCACUAGUAAUCCUGUGUCAGCUAUAUCAGGGUGAAUACGUUCCCAGGUCUUGUACACACCGCCCGUCAAACUA